This 401-nucleotide ribosomal RNA is filed under the name uncultured bacterium. RNAcentral describes it as "bacterial SSU rRNA". It matches the Rfam family "Bacterial small subunit ribosomal RNA", at positions 356 to 773 of the family's 1533-position model. The record is from RNAcentral.
GGGGAAUAUUGCACAAUGGGGGAAACCCUGAUGCAGCAACGCCGCGUGAGUGAAGAAGGUUUUCGGAUCGUAAAGCUCUGUUAUUGGGGAAGAAGAAUGACGGUACCCAAUGAGGAAGUCCCGGCUAACUACGUGCCAGCAGCCGCGGUAAUACGUAGGUGGCAAGCGUUGUCCGGAUUUACUGGGCGUAAAGGGAGCGUAGGCGGAUACUUAAGUGGGAUGUGAAAUACCUGGGCUUAACUUGGGUGCUGCAUUCCAAACUGGGUGUCUAGAGUGUUGGAGAGGAAAGUGGAAUUCCUAGUGUAGCGGUGAAAUGCGUAGAGAUUAGGAAGAACACCAGUGGCGAAGGCGAUUUUCUGGACAAUAACUGACGCUGAGGCUCGAAAGCGUGGGGAGCAAAC